CCUACGGGUGGCAGCAGUGGGGAAUAUUGGACAAUGGGCGAAAGCCUGAUCCAGCCAUGCCGCGUGUGUGAAGAAGGCCUUCGGGUUGUAAAGCACUUUCAGUGGGGAAGAAAGCCUUGGGGCUAAUACCCUCGAGGAAGGACAUCACCCACAGAAGAAGCACCGGCUAACUCCGUGCCAGCAGCCGCGGUAAUACGGAGGGUGCGAGCGUUAAUCGGAAUUACUGGGCGUAAAGCGCGCGUAGGCGGUCUGAUAAGCCGGUUGUGAAAGCCCCGGGCUCAACCUGGGAACGGCAUCCGGAACUGUCAGGCUAGAGUGCAGGAGAGGAAGGUAGAAUUCCCGGUGUAGCGGUGAAAUGCGUAGAGAUCGGGAGGAAUACCAGUGGCGAAGGCGGCCUUCUGGACUGACACUGACGCUGAGGUGCGAAAGCGUGGGUAGCGAACAGGAUUAGAUACCCUAGUAGUC
This 465-nucleotide ribosomal RNA is filed under the name Vreelandella stevensii. Its description in RNAcentral is "partial 16S ribosomal RNA". It matches the Rfam family "Bacterial small subunit ribosomal RNA", at positions 338 to 795 of the family's 1533-position model. The record is from RNAcentral. Lineage: Bacteria; Pseudomonadati; Pseudomonadota; Gammaproteobacteria; Oceanospirillales; Halomonadaceae.